UGUAUAUUUUUGUCAGUAUGUACAAGUAUACUAGUGUACACAGUUUAGUGUACAUGUGUACAACAAAAAUAUGGUAUAGUGUAUUAGGCACCUAGCAAGACUAUGAACUUCUUCCUUUGUUUUUUGUAAAACAGGAACUCCUUCCUUGAUACAAAGAAUUUACGCAUAGAAAUUAUGGAGUUCUAUGUGUUAAAGCAUCAGACUUUCAAGCAUGUAAACAGAACUGAAUUUUACAUAAAAGCUUGUGACUUUGCGCUGAAGAAUCUUCCAAAUAUAGCAAAGACAAAGAAAACAAGAGUUAUUAACACUUAGGGUCACUUUUAAGUUUCUAAUAUUACUAAGAGUCACUUUAUGCUACUGAGGUACUUCUUUCUAACUAUUUUCUAACUAAACACCACAUCUCUAACUUUUUUCAUUCGUUUUGGUUUUUGUGCUAACUUUUGUUGUUUUUUUUCUUUUUUCAAUUUUGAAAUAAAGAGUUGUGGACCCGAGACACAAAAUUAACUGGAUUUAAUAAAAGAAAAUAAUUAUUAAUUUCAUGAUACGAGAAUUGAGGGUUGAAAGAGAAAGAAAUUGAAGGAGAAAGCGGUGACUGAUUCCGAGUUUUUAACGGGCUGCGUUUUCUCGGCGACGAUGAUGGCGAAACGCAAGCGGCAGAAAAUAGAUUGCCGAAGAUAUGGCCCUUGUUAAAGAGGUUGACGGUCGGUUGCCGGUGAAGAUUUUUUCGACUGUUGUUUUCCUAGUCGAAGGCUCAAUAACUAUUCUAAGGUGGAUUACCUACUGUUCGUAACAGAUGUGUUGGAGGGCUCAGCGGAGAUGGAUAGGUUAUGAGUUCUUGUUUUGAGAAGCCAUUCAAACUGCUCACUGGAGGUGUACCGUGUACGAGUUGUUGAUAUUGUUUGUUUAAGGUCUUUUUGGUGCUUUUGUAAAACUUUGCUAGGAUGUUAUGUGUACACAAAGCGGUGUGUACAUGUGUACAACAAGGAAUGAGUACAUGUGUACAAAUGAGUAUAUGUACAACUUGAGUUCACCAAAACUGAGAGAUCUGAACUUAGAAGUUCCCACUCCUCUUUUCUUAGUAUAAGGAAAUGCCCAAAUGUGUUCCUUUUGGGAGUAUUGUGAAUGAAAAUGGUUAUGUUUUCACUGUA
This is a long non-coding RNA of Raphanus sativus (radish), 1148 nucleotides long. RefSeq lists it as uncharacterized. The transcript has 2 exons. NCBI's taxonomy places the organism in Eukaryota, Viridiplantae, Streptophyta, Magnoliopsida, Brassicales, Brassicaceae. The record is from RefSeq and is a predicted model, not a curated record.